GAUGAACGCUGCCAGCAUGCUUAACACAUCAGCCAUGGAUUGGUGGCGGACGGGUGAGUAACUCGUAAAGAACUUGCCUCCCAGCGAGGGACAACAUUUGGAAACGAAUGCUAAUAACUAAUACUGUGAGAGAGCUUUGCGUCCCAGUAUCUAGUUGGAGAGGUAACGGCUCACCAAGGCGAUGAUGGGUAGCAGGCCUGAGAGGGUGAUCGGCCACAAGGGCACGGAGACACGGUCCUUACAGCUACGGGAGGCAGCAGUGGGGAAUAUUGGACAAUGUACCAAAGUCUGAUCCAGCAAUUCUGUGUGCACGAUGAAGUUUUCGGAAUGUAAAGUGCUUUCAGUUGGGAAGCGUUACCAACAGAAGAAGUGACGGCUAAAUACGUGCCAGCAGCCGCGGUAAUUC
RNAcentral lists this ribosomal RNA (406 nucleotides) under uncultured bacterium. RNAcentral's name for it is "partial 16S ribosomal RNA". It matches the Rfam family "Bacterial small subunit ribosomal RNA", at positions 28 to 526 of the family's 1533-position model. The record is from RNAcentral.